UGUUGUAACAGUGCUGUGUGAAAGCCUGAAUCCGUUUCCAAGCUGGUGAGAAAAGGAAUGUACUGUCAAACCAGGAGGAGAGAAGCUCUGUGCUGGGCCAGUAAGAGAAGAAGGAAGGCACUCAUAUCGGGACAUGAGCAUCAUGCCCUGCAAGUAUCCAUUCACUCCCCUGUCUGUGCAGAUACUCGAGGCAGCUAUCUCAGGGGCAAAGGUCUGUGUUUUGUUAGAUCAGUCAAGGAGCCUGUGAAGAUAUCUCCUAACUCCAGAUAUAAGGAAGCAUGACAAGUAUUUUAAAAUUGCAGGUAAUAGCCUCCCAGAAGUCCUGUCGUGGAUGUGGCUUGGAUGUCCAGGAAGUCUCAAAUGGUGCUAGGUAUGUCCGGUAUACUUUACGUCUCACCCCAACAGAAAAAAUCCAAGACUCCUGCUUGAAAGGGCAAUAUAGCUCAUGUGGAGUGCUCUUUUUAAGCAUUUGCCAUCCUGCAUAA
Long non-coding RNA from Pezoporus flaviventris, 485 nucleotides. RefSeq lists it as uncharacterized. The record is from RefSeq and is a predicted model, not a curated record. The transcript is spliced from 4 exons. NCBI's taxonomy places the organism in Eukaryota, Metazoa, Chordata, Aves, Psittaciformes, Psittacidae.